Long non-coding RNA from Ostrea edulis (European flat oyster), 2372 nucleotides. RefSeq lists it as uncharacterized. The transcript has 4 exons. The record is from RefSeq and is a predicted model, not a curated record. Lineage: Eukaryota; Metazoa; Mollusca; Bivalvia; Ostreida; Ostreidae.
GAACUUAUAUGCAAGGCGGAUCACAGUAGUUUUGAUGACUUUCGGAAUGACAAAUAUAGUAUAUAUUAGACACUUUAAAAAAUAUCAUUGCUAUUUUGCUUUUAUUAUAUUAUCCACUUUUUCUCAACGAAAAUUCAGCAGUUAUUACCGUUGUGUAUAUUACUCAGCUGCAUAAAAUCGUAUAGAUACUAGGAAGAAUGUGGUUAUUGGAACUUUGUAUUAUGUUAAAAUUACACAAUAAUUUGCAUUUUGAGGUCAAUAUGAUGCUUUAGUUAUACCCCUUAAGUUCAACAUUGAUAUAUCUUAAUGCAUAAAUGAAUGAUUCCGAGCUCUCUGAUUGGUUGAAUGAUUCCGAGCUUUCUGAUUGGUUGAGAAAAACCAAACUAAAAAAAGGACGUUAAAUCCACAUCAUCGUGUCUUCGAAGUGAACAUACACUGUAACAUUUGAUUUUUCCAACCACGGACCAAAAAUAGAUUGGGAAUUCCCAAAUUGAUACGAUUGGUUAGUAUUCUUGGUUGUCCAAUAAAAACUUUGAUGACUUUUGACUAAGUCUUGCAUUUUAACUGUAAACAAAGAUGGCCGACCAGAAAUCGUUUUGUAAGCUUUACCAGCCGGUUUCGUUGUUUUCGGGCUUGGUGAUUAUUGUACUUCUCAGUUUUAAGUUUUAACCUAAAAAUAUCAGUAAUUUUAUAAUUUUAUGGAAUUGAACACAUUAACUAAAGCUGUGUAUUAACCUAAAAAUAUCAGUAAUUUUAUAAUAUUAUAGAAUUGAACACAGUAACUAAAGCUGCGUAUUAACCUAGAAUAUAUCAGUAAUCAUAGCAUAACAUUGGUUUCGUGUAAGUGAUAUGAAACCGUGAAGAUAACAAACAGGGAUCAAUCCCAUAAGGAAAACAGAAUUGAGGAUAGGACAAACAUCGAUCAUAGAAUUUGCGAAAUUUUGAAUCUAAACGAGACUGUUAAGACCCCUGUAACUUCUUUUCUUUGGAGGAUAUUAGUCCAAGUUCAGAUGUACUUUUCAGAAAGUUUCAGGAAGAACGUUCCUUCGUGAAAAGAGAAGGAGAUGUAAACACAGAUGUAAAUGAGGAGGAGAAUGCGCUACCUGUCGGGCCACGGUACGUUAAUGAAUUGCUGCCACCAUCUGCCGAUGACCAUUGUGACGUAGAAGCCCAGGACAAACGACACAGUUGAUAGGUUCCAGGGGCACAGCUUUUGCAGUAGUUAGACCCAGGCUGGUCCUGGUAUGUGCCCGGGGGACAGAAUGAACACCACUGCAGACCGCCCCCACUGUUGUACUGACCAGCAGGGCAGGACACACACUGACCGUCUUUUCCAUAUGUUCCCGCCGGACAAGCUAAACAAAGUGGAUCCAGAAAAUGUUCAAAGCCGGGUGGAGUUGUGACCCAUUUGUACCUUUUCCGCCCAAGAAAGAGGGUUGAAAACUGCAAAACAUUGGCAAAAAUGACUAUUUAAUAUUUGCGUUGUAUUAGAUAAUAACUAAAGGAUCUGUAUUUGCUAGGCCUUACUGUGAAGUCUUUAUAAGAUUUCAUAUGCAUUUGAUAGGUAAAACAAAAACAAACGUAUGGAAACGCAAAAACCUAAAUAUAAUUUUUUUUUGCUAUUCAGGGUAAUGUUUGAUUAUUAGUCGGAUGCAGACUGAAUUAAAUCGUUUAAUCAAAGUACUGAUACUACUGAUAGACAGUGGAGUGUGUUAGAAAAUGCUUAGCUAAGAUGACCUUAAAACAGUAACUUCCUGAAUGAGCAAUCAUUAAUGGUGCUUCUAAGAUAAUGCCUUAUAAAUAAGCAAUUUGUUUUGUCAGAAUUUUUUGUUUAUUUCAAUAGUUUAUUCAUAUUUCAAAGUACCCUUAUAAUUAAUGUUCAAAACAUUCGGGCGCAUGUCUUGAUAACAAGAAAACAUUGAUAUACAUUGUAUAUAUAAUUGCAUCCCAAUAUAUUACUAAUUUUUUCAAACAUAUAAUUGAAAUCUAUAUGUAGCCUUUUCUAUACAUAAGAGUACAUCUUUAAAGAAGCUUUAGCAUGCAUGUAUAUAUUUUCGGUACUUUCUUCAAUUUCUUUAAUUCUACAGUACAUCUUGUAUUUGUAAAUAACAGUUGCUAUAGUAGAAAUUACGUUAUUCAAAAUGACAAUUCUGUGGUUGUUUUCAAAAUAAAAUCCAAUAAGAAUGUGUUUCCAUUUGAUGUCAAAUUUGACAUUUGACGUUAUUUCCCAUAUAUGCUUUACAUUUUCACAAAAACAAAUCAAGUGUUCAUUGUUUUCAACAUUUUCUUUACAAAAUUCACACAUGUUUGAUUCAGUUUUCUUUAUUUUCACGAGAAAAGAUUUGUUAUAUAGAAGAUUAUUGAGAAGUUUA